Nothobranchius furzeri (turquoise killifish) is the source of this 790-nucleotide non-coding RNA. Lineage: Eukaryota; Metazoa; Chordata; Actinopteri; Cyprinodontiformes; Nothobranchiidae. The record is from RefSeq and is a predicted model, not a curated record.
UCCAAAGCUUCACCAACAGCAUGCAAAAGAUCAGGUACAUACUUGUUUAUUUAAUAUUAUUGUGAUGAAAUUCUCCAGUAUGUUAGUUUCACAAACGGUAAUGUGGAUGUGGACCAUAUAUGGUCGUGUUAUUUUAUGUGCAAUUUAAUGCAGUAUUUUUCAGCCUUGGUCCGCAAGGCAGCGUGCCAAUAGUCAGACACACGUGGAUUAAUCCCUUUGUCCAAUAAUGUAAGACAGGAAAUAAAAGAGCUGUGCUUAAUUCAGGAAAUAGUGAAGUUGUGCACAAAGGUCAGAAAGCACAAGUUUGUUAAAAAAAAUAGCACAGCCCCACCAAAAAUAUUUUUCACCAGCCGCCACUGUUCUCUUAUACUGAUAUAAUAAAUAUUUUCGGUAAGUAUCGUACUUUAUGUUUGCAUUUAGUAAUUUAGCAUACAUUGAGACUUUUGUGACAUUUUUUGCCAUGUUUGUUUUUGUUUUACCACCCGUAUUUUUUUUUUCAGAUGCAUUUUUCACGGAGGCUUUUUAUUGUUUUAUGUUAGAUUCGUUUUUGUAAAUAAUGAAAGAAAUCAGGAAAUCUUCUAGAAAUAGGAAAUGUUCCUCAAGAUCUGUUGAUGAGGAGCAAGAUGUGCCCUCAUCGUUUUUCCGUCACAAACGCAGAAAACAAAACCUCCAUAUACAUCUGUGGUUGAGGAUUCAGGUGCGAGUGAAGAUGAUUUCCCAUCACAGCUGCAAGAUUCUUCUGAUGAGCUAUUCACCAGCAAUGGGCAGUGUCAGAGGAAGGAUCUUGCUG